CCUAAAAUAAGUGCAGUUUUAGCAUUAUUCAUGUUCAACGUUUGAUCGUUCGUUUUAUUUGAAAAAAGAUUAUGGUUAGUAUUUUUAUUGUUAUUAGAUAAUAGAACAUGAAUAAUACUUUAUGUGUGACUAAUUUUUUUAAUAUUUUUCAUAAAUUUUUCAAAUAAGACGGAUGGUCAAAGCGUUAAACAUGGAUAUUUAUGGCUGCACUUAUUUUGGGACGGAGAUAG
Molecule: microRNA precursor, 230 nt
Filed under: Oryza sativa (Asian cultivated rice)
Lineage: Eukaryota; Viridiplantae; Streptophyta; Magnoliopsida; Poales; Poaceae
Description: partial microRNA MIR433c-4 precursor
Rfam family: MIR812 microRNA precursor family
Source: RNAcentral